GAAUGCUGACAUAAGUAACGAUAAAGCGGGUGAAAAGCCCGCUCGCCGGAAGACCAAGGGUUCCUGUCCAACGUUAAUCGGGGCAGGGUGAGUCGACCCCUAAGGCGAGGCCGAAAGGCGUAGUCGAUGGGAAACAGGUUAAUAUUCCUGUACUUGGUGUUACUGCGAAGGGGGGACGGAGAAGGCUAUGUUGGCCGGGCGACGGUUGUCCCGGUUUAAGCGUGUAGGCUGGUUUUCCAGGCAAAUCCGGAAAAUCAAGGCUGAGGCGUGAUGACGAGGCACUACGGUGCUGAAGCGACAAAUGCCCUGCUUCCAGGAAAAGCCUCUAAGCAUCAGGUAACAUCAAAUCGUACCCCAAACCGACACAGGUGGUCAGGUAGAGAAUACCAAGGCGCUUGAGAGAACUCGGGUGAAGGAACUAGGCAAAAUGGUGCCGUAACUUCGGGAGAAGGCACGCUGAUAUGUAGGUGAAGCGACUUGCUCGUGGAGCUGAAAUCAGUCGAAGAUACCAGCUGGCUGCAACUGUUUAUUAAAAACACAGCACUGUGCAAACACGAAAGUGGACGUAUACGGUGUGACGCCUGCCCGGUGCCGGAAGGUUAAUUGAUGGGGUUAGCGGUAACGCGAAGCUCUUGAUCGAAGCCCCGGUAAACGGCGGCCGUAACUAUAACGGUCCUAAGGUAGCGAAAUUCCUUGUCGGGUAAGUUCCGACCUGCACGAAUGGCGUAAUGAUGGCCAGGCUGUCUCCACCCGAGACUCAGUGAAAUUGAACUCGCUGUGAAGAUGCAGUGUACCCGCGGCAAGACGGAAAGACCCCGUGAACCUUUACUAUAGCUUGACACUGAACAUUGAGCCUUGAUGUGUAGGAUAGGUGGGAGGCUUUGAAGUGUGGACGCCAGUCUGCAUGGAGCCGACCUUGAAAUACCACCCUUUAAUGUUUGAUGUUCUAACGUGGGCCCCUUACCGGGGUUGCGGACAGUGUCUGGUGGGUAGUUUGACUGGGGCGGUCUCCUCCUAAAGAGUAACGGAGGAGCACGAAGGUUGGCUAAUCCUGGUCGGACAUCAGGAGGUUAGUGCAAUGGCAUAAGCCAGCUUGACUGCGAGCGUGACGGCGCGAGCAGGUGCGAAAGCAGGUCAUAGUGAUCCGGUGGUUCUGAAUGGAAGGGCCAUCGCUCAACGGAUAAAAGGUACUCCGGGGAUAACAGGCUGAUACCGCCCAAGAGUUCAUAUCGACGGCGGUGUUUGGCACCUCGAUGUCGGCUCAUCACAUCCUGGGGCUGAAGUAGGUCCCAAGGGUAUGGCUGUUCGCCAUUUAAAGUGGUACGCGAGCUGGGUUUAGAACGUCGUGAGACAGUUCGGUCCCUAUCUGCCGUGGGCGCUGGAGAACUGAGGGGGGCUGCUCCUAGUACGAGAGGACCGGAGUGGACGCAUCACUGGUGUUCGGGUUGUCAUGCCAAUGGCACUGCCCGGUAGCUAAAUGCGGAAGAGAUAAGUGCUGAAAGCAUCUAAGCACGAAACUUGCCCCGAGAUGAGUUCUCCCUGACUCCUUGAGAGUCCUGAAGGAACGUUGAAGACGACGACGUUGAUAGGCCGGGUGUGUAAGCGCAGCGAUGCGUUGAGCUAACCGGUACUAAUGAACCGUGAGGCUUAACCUUACAACGCCG
This 1664-nucleotide ribosomal RNA is filed under the name Escherichia coli. RNAcentral's name for it is "partial 23S ribosomal RNA". It matches the Rfam family "Bacterial large subunit ribosomal RNA", at positions 1292 to 2925 of the family's 2925-position model. Lineage: Bacteria; Pseudomonadati; Pseudomonadota; Gammaproteobacteria; Enterobacterales; Enterobacteriaceae. The record is from RNAcentral.